This 253-nucleotide ribosomal RNA is filed under the name uncultured bacterium. Its description in RNAcentral is "partial 16S ribosomal RNA". It matches the Rfam family "Bacterial small subunit ribosomal RNA", at positions 524 to 776 of the family's 1533-position model. The record is from RNAcentral.
UACGUAGGGCGCAAGCGUUGUCCGGAUUUAUUGGGCGUAAAGAGCGUGUAGGCGGCCAGACAGGUCUGCUGUGAAAACUCGAGGCUCAACCUCGAGACGCCGGUGGAAACCGUCUGGCUAGAGUCCGGAAGAGGAGAGUGGAAUUCCUGGUGUAGCGGUGAAAUGCGCAGAUAUCAGGAAGAACACCCGUGGCUAAGGCGGCUCUCUAGUACGGUACUGACGCUGAGACGCGAAAGCGUGGGGAGCGAACAGG